This is a non-coding RNA of Rattus norvegicus (Norway rat), 14051 nucleotides long. NCBI's taxonomy places the organism in Eukaryota, Metazoa, Chordata, Mammalia, Rodentia, Muridae. The record is from RefSeq and is a predicted model, not a curated record.
ACUCGUUCUCUGCCAUUAAUAAUUGUACACAUGGAAACCAGAUGUUUAAACGUUCCGUGUGCUUUAGUUCUGAGGUCUCCUCUUUGUGACAUCUUUGGCCACACUAUACUUUUUAUUUCAGGUUUAUCCAUGGAUAUCGCGCUUGGUUUUCAGCGUUCACUUAAGCCCAAGUGUCACUCGAUCAGGCACCUGUUAUGGUCUAGUCCUUGGGCCAGGGACCCCCAGUUAUAAAAGAGAUAGUGUGAACCUAUGUGCUUCCCAGUUUCAUGAGGACAGCCGGAGGUUCACUCCCAGUUACGUGGGGGUCGGUAUGACCAAGCGAGUGGUUCGGUGGAAAGCAUGCGUUUCCUGGCAUUUCUCUUUCUUUUCCUCAAUUUGCUUAAUGAUCAUUUCUUGCUAAUGGUGCUUUGAGGAGUCUGGAGAGGCCCCAAAUUGCAGAGGAAAGUGCUAACAGGAAGAGAAGUGCUGACCUGGCUCUGAGCCCCAGGGCAGGUCUCUUAACCUCCCGAGCCUCAGCGAGCCUCAGUUUCCAUGUGUUACUUAGGGCUAAUUACACCUACUUCAAACAGACUUCUGUGAGAAGCAUUAUCUCAUUAGAGAUAAUGUUCUUAAAAGCGUUUUGAAAUUUUGUGUAGCAUUUUUCAAAUGCUAAGCAUUGUCAUAUUUAUUAUUGAGCGCUACUAAUUCCGCACCAGAGGUGGUGAGGACAGAAGAGGCCGUUGUUAUCACCGUUGCUCUGCCACAGCUGGGUUCUGGGAUGUGUUGGGAUGGAUGGGCCACGCAGGGGAAGGCCAUGAAUCAGCCGUGGAAGAACUCAUGGUCAGACAGGGAGGCAAGCAGUAUAAAGGGAGCCAUGAAUAGGUCUCGGAGAGGCUGUGGGUCUUUCUUGCUCCAACACCUUCUGCCUGUCGUCAGGAAACGCUUUCCUGGAAGAGAGACACUUGACCUUAGCUGUCACUAACAGGAGAAGAAGAAUCAACUUGGGGCUCUCAUUCAUCAAAAGACUCUUUAUUGGAUAACACGCAGUGUGUGUCAGGAGAUAUGUAAAUACAUUUUGGUUGGGGAAAUCAAGUACGUCCUGAGAGAAGGUAAACAUGGCUACAGUGUUUCUUCCAGGCUACAGAGCACAGAAAGGCCAGGUGCUGUGGGAGUCAGAGGGGCACCUUGUUUAGGCCUCAGAGUCCAUGGGAAAAGUUCAGAAGGCAGGAUGCUCUACCAGAAAGGCCCUCUAGGCAUUUGCUGGUAGUUACCCUUCGUUCACUGCCCAUUCCUAAUAGGCUUGAAACAUUCGCUUCCAUAUUCAGUCAUUGCUGUCCACAUGGUUGGUAGGAGGAGCAUGAAGAAGUCAACUUUGCAGUUUCCCCACUUUGCCCUUUGUGGGUAGAGGGCUUUGUAGGGAUCUGGCUGUGAAUUUUAGUGAUUGUGACUCAUUCAGGGUACAAGUCUCAAGGUUUGUGACCUGAGCCAAGGCCAAAUGCUGGGGAAGAGGAGCAAGGGAAAGGCCUGGGAAGUGGGAGGGUGAGAGCCUGUGCACCUCCUGAGGUGGCUUAGGAAAGGGGGUGCCACACGGGCCUUCCUGCUAUCACAGAUCGGUUCCACUGAAGACUCAACCCUCUCCUGGCCCUGCCCUUGUUCCCUGCCCUUGAUCUGUAAAACACAAGGCUCCAGGGUGAGGACAGCAGUGAGAAAUGGCAGUGUCCAGCAGGGCUUCGUGUCUGUGCCUGGGGUGCCAUGGCCUGCUUACUUAGUGUUUAGAGACUUCAAAAGGAUCCAGCCAACAUUGGGGGGCCGGGCUGACCAGAGAGGAGGGGUGAGAGACAGAACAGUGCCCCGUUUAUCUCCCAGGAGGAAAGGAGAGGAAAGUGGAUAUAAAUCCCGCCUGUGGCCUGUGCGCCAUCCUGCCCUGUGAGGCAGGCCAGGUACCAGAGAGCCAGUCUGCCUGCUUCUGUGUGACCUCAAUACAUCGGAAGGAUUAUUCACAACAGCUUUAGGCAGCAAAAUGCCGAUUCCGGCAAAGUAGGCUUUCAGCUUUAUUGGCACUGGGCAUCACCAAAAUACUCAUUCACUAAGUACGUCCCAAGGGCUUGUCAUACCAGUUUAUGGCAUGACACAUGUUAUUCUUUAUCAACUUAGAAUGGUGAUCAGAAGAGAGAACCCCAGACGUCACUGGAGAAAUGGGGAGAGCCCUGGGAUCACAAUGUGUAAUAGGAUCCGAGAGGAAAUACCCCCGGCAUGGUUAAAAGAGACCACUUCCUACCAUCUCCAACCUCACACAGGCUGAGCUUUGGUAAUUAAAUAGGCAGAAGGGUUUCUUCCAGGUGAAUCAUUUGGAAAACUUACUCCCUAAUGUGCGCUUUACAUGUUCUUUAUCACCGAUCUUAGACUUAGCAACCAGGAGUGUGCAAAACUGCAUUGGAAAACUGUGCCUGGGCACAACUGGCGUGAGUCAGCAAUGAUGCCAAGGAUGGGGAAUUUAUGCAGCUUCUGGGACUGUGUUAUUGUUUGUAUGCAUAUGUGCAUGUACAGACAGUUAGGCACAGAUACACAUGCACGCAUACAUACUUUUCUGAUGCCCACGGAGUCCUGCAAAUAAGGAAGCCGUUGAAAGGACACACAGGAAGGCGGGGAAAGGCCCACAUGCGUGGCUCUGCAGCAAACCUGCACAAAUCUUUGUGACCCGAGCCUGGCGGGUCACCGUGGAGGUGUUACCAGCAUGCAUGUGUCAUAUUAAAAUACAGCUUUGCAAAGACGCACCGACUUUGAGAGUCACACCAUACAUAAAGAAACAUCCGAAGUUGUCUUCCAGCCACUGCUCAACAACUGCACAUCCUCGUUCUGUGCACUUCGCUAAGCUCCUUCCUGCCCCCGCCAGCCCAGGCUCCUGAUUCUGAGGAGUACAUUAUAGUCUUGGGGCCUGAGUCACAUCUUCUCUUUAGCUCCCAAAUUACUGUUAGUUACACAAAUAUCACCCUCUAGUAGAUUUCUAGAACAUAAAGUAUUUGCCAGGAACCUUUCCGUUUGUAAUUUUGUAAUCUUUAAUCCCAGUAGCAAGUUUGCAUCAGAGAUGUUUUCAGUCCUUAUUCAUCAAAGAAACAAUUCAGAGGCAAAGUGCCCCCCCCCAUCCCCAGGAGGUUGCUAGGACCACACAUCUAGGAGUUGGAGGAGCCAAGAAUUGAACCAGAAUUCUGUGUUAUUCAAGUCACGGGGCUUACACUUUGCAGGGCAUGGAAACUUCUGCAUCCAUGUCUACACCAGAUAGUGGAAUAAAAGGGGUUUGAAGAAGAUGGAUGGAUGUUUUGAUUUCUGUGACUGCAAGGAGUAUGGACAGGAUGAGCUGUGUAUCGAACCCAUGCCAUCUGGCCCUGUGCACCACUCGAGAUGACUUGCUGGGGACCCUGGCUUUGCAUCAUGCCUGGAUCAGCCUUGUGGCUUUCUUCCUCCUCCUCUUCCUCCUCUUCCUCCUCCUCCUCUUCUUCUUCCUCCUCUUCCUCUUCCUCCUCUUCCUCCUCCUCCUCUUCUUCUUCCUCCUCUUCCUCUUCCUCUUCUUCCUCCUCCUCCCCGUCUUUCCUUUUUUGCCUUCUGGUGAUGCACAGAAUUCAGUUUUUCCUGAGAUUCUAUGUAUUGACUCGGGAAGUGACAUUUUGAUUUGGGAAGGUGUGGUCCUUUUGGAUGGAGGUCACGUGAGCAGCAGCAGAAGCUGUACCUGGCAGAGUUUGGAGAAGUGGAGGAUUCCUUAGAUACCUGUUGAGCUUGCUUCGACUUACGACUUGCAAAGUGUGCUUGGGUGUCUGAGAUUGAGGGAGAAAGGAUAGCUGAGCUGCCUAGAGAGUCGGUGCUUCAUUCCCUCGCCCCUGUAGAAGUACACACUGAUGCACAUGUUCAGACCAGCAAAGACUCAGGCACCGCAUUCAUCCACCCCAGGCUCACAGCCAAAGGAAUGAGAAAGACUUGGCACGAUGUCAUGGGAAAUGUCAUGGUCCCUUCUGGACUCACUUAAAAAGCCCAAGACCCAUUUACUUUUGAUUUCAAGACAUUUCUAUUUAUAGUAUUUCGGGAAGCUGGAGUCUAGGAGGAUCCUGUCUGUAGGAAUUGUCAGUUGCAUACAGCAGGCUUAUGCCUUUUCAGGUUUCACAGCGCCAUAGCCUUGACCUUAAAUGCUCCCUAAUGUCUGGGUGUUUUAGGCAUGGUCCCAGGGUGGCCCUUUUGGAAAGUACUGGGACCUGUAAGAAAUAUGGCUCAGUGGGACGUCAUGGAGUUAUUGUGAGUGUGCCCUUGAAGGGGACAGUGAGGCUGAGGCACACCUCCCCUUUUGAUGUGUAUUUGUCUAUAGACUUACAUAUGACAAGCUCCCGACUGCAUUCUAGAGUCACAGGGCUAACAUACCAUGGUUGGAACCUCCAAAAAUCAGGAGCUGAAGUGAACCCUCUGUCUUUUGUAUCUUAGUUAUCUUCUGUGUGUUAGAGUGACAGAGAACACAGAAUGUUAGUGUUCCCAACUGCUUAUGAAUUACUUCAUCAGGAUGUAGAUCACGGCUGUCCCUGAGAAGAGAUGGUACCUGGAGCAUAUGGGAGGAGAAUUUUCAGCUCAGGGCAGGGAAUGGGACCUGGCCAGAGGAGAGCCAGUCCUAAAGGGAGAGGGCAGUUCUUAGGCAUGUGCCAAGGCUAGUGCAAACCUCAAAGCAGGGCUGCCAAGGAGCCAGAGCCAGCUGGAUGGAAUGUCAGCAAGCCAGAGGCUCAAGAAUGUGGACAGUGGGAAGGGCUUAGAAUCAAGCUGGCUUUCUGAGUCAGGGCAGGGCAACAAGCAGGAAGCAAGCCGAGGACCCAGAUGUGACCCAGUGACAUAAGUAAGAACAAGGACUAUAGAAGAAGCAGUCAGAGGUCCCACAAGAAAUCCAGGCCACAGAUCAGUCAUGUGCUUAUGGACUCUGGGUGGGGGGAAUAGGGGAUGGUGUCACAGCCCUCAGAAUGUAGCUAGCAGGCUUGCUUAUGAGCCUGGGAACUUUCCAUGUUUGUAAGGCGGGGGUUGGGUUAGGAUGGGGGCUUUCAGAUUAAGGUAGGGCAAGGUGGACUGGAGUAUUAAAGAGAAGCAUCAAUUUUUCUCUGUCCUCAGGACAAAGCCAAUGUUAUUCUCUCUAAAUCCUGAUGGGAAAGGUUUUGGGGAAAACUCUGGGAGCUGACCUUGAGUAGGUGUUUGUUUAAAUGGCAUGCACAUAUCUUUAAUCCUGGCACUUGUGGGGCAGAGACAGGCAGGUCUCUGUGAACUUAAGGUUAGCCUAAGCUACAUAGUAAGCUUCAGGCCAGCCAAGGUUCCAUAUUGUCUGUUUUAGCAUACACACACACACACACACACACACACACACACACACACACGCUCACACAAAGAUACACACUCACACACAGAUACACACACAAAGAUACACACACAGAGAUACACACACACACACACACACACACACACACACACACACACACACACCAGUGAUAUCAGGAACUUAAGUUUUCAGUUUCUUCUUUGAGGAGUAGCGGUGGCAACACUCGUUCUGUCUUGUUUCCUGUUCUAUUAAUCUCUUAAGACAGUAUUCGCAUAGUGUGCCCUGAAGAAUAGAACACUUGGAUAAACCUCUUGGGAAGACGGUGUGUAAAGCUCAGUGGCAACUGUUACCUCUGGGCAGGUGCCAAGGGCCUGAGGCAGCCUGCUUUCUUACAUCCCAUCUGCUUUCUUUGUGUUGAUUGGCUCAUCUGGCUGGCUUCACUAUGCCAGUUUUUGACAGGUAUGGAGGAGGACUAAAAAACUCAAAAGAUUUUGUGAGCUCCCUUAGACCUUGUGCUUUAUUCAUGGCAAACUGUACCAUGAUGCGGGCUUUGUCACUCACAGCCAAUCUCUGUGGCUCAAGCUAAGAAAAAUCAUAAUGAUCCGACUUAGUUUCCCGACUGUACAGAGUGCGGAAACUGAGGCUAAGUAAAAUUUUGUUCAAGUCCAAAUACAACAGAAACCACAUUUACUAUAACCUGUGUACUUUGUACGCAUUCCUGACUGACCGGCGGGUGGGAGCUAGAAGAUGGAGUUUGGGAUUUCUGACUACCAUUUCUUUGUAGGUGAAAGCCACAUUCAUCACUUUUGAGACAAUUGCACAGGCUUAGAGUAGCAGAACCCAAAAUAGACUUUCCUCUCUCAGGAGCAACUCUGCAUAAAAGACUCACUGGCUCUGGACUAGGUCCCUGUCACACCCCUGGCAGAAGUAGCCAGACCAAGGGACCUGGCCAGGAAUCUGGGUUGUCCCAGACGGGGAACAAACACUUGUCACAGAAUGAAUCGUGGCGUUGGGUAGACAGCCAAGUUUGCAGGAUUGGCGCUGUAUUGAUGAAGAAGGGAGAUUUGCGCUUUGUCUUGACCUCUGUCGUCAGCCAGUUACGGCGAAGUAGAGAUGACAUCAGGACGCUGUGGGAGAGCUUUAAGCUUAUCUCCUUCUACCCUAAAUACGUGGCAAGCGAACCCUCUAAAAAUAGCAGCGAGUGGCACCAUAACAAAGAAAGCAUGCAGCAUACAAGAAGGCAUGGUGCCCUCGGGCCGUUGGCCCCCACCCAGAGUUAACAUUUAGCAGUGUUUUUUGUCUUGCUCUUGAGGCUGUGGGCCAAAGUUUGGGCAGAGAUCCAUUUCAAUGGCUUGUUAUCUGUCAGCUAAGCUAACCUGUGCUGCCCAGGGUUGCAGUAUGCGUCACAGAGAUGCGAAUGCAGCAGGGAUUUGGCAACACACGAGGGACUUACACUGACCCUUCCUGCAUAGACUUGGAGUCUGUCUGUACUCAGCACCCUGGUGCACGUGAGAGGAGCUUAGUCUUUCCUUGCUAAUUGUGGUGAUGUCCGAAAAUAGCAACGGAUCUCUAGCUCCCCAGAGAAUCAUGGUCCCUGCUAAGACUAUGUUAUGUUAUGCUAUGCUAUGCUAUGCUAUGCUAUGCUAUGCUAUGCUAUGCUAUGCUAUGCUAUGCUAUGCUAUGCAAUGCUAUGCUAUGCUAUGUUAUGUUAUGUUGGAGUUGUUCAUGCUAAAGAGAAGACUGCUUAUUAAGAGUCUGGUCUCUAUAAUCUUCCGUAGUAACAGGCGUUUCAGCUGAGCACGUGAUUGUCUAGAAUAAAGUGCUGGAGUUCUUAUCCUCCCUCGGAAUUGACUGCUAUUGUAUGACCAAGACUGACCCAGGGGCACAUCAUCAGGAGUGAUGUGCUUAGCUUCAUGGUCACUUUGAAGGGAGGCCAUGGGGCCUUGUCCUUCUUCCUUGCAUGUAUGCAGUCAUGAGGUGUGCUGUGUCAGAUAAUGCAGAUUAAAGCAGCACCCCGGCGGGAUACAGAGCAACAACACAGAAGGGAUGUGGGACAUUGACCACUAAGGGAGAGGUUUCAUGUGUGUCUCCCAUGGAAGGCCAAUCAUUUUGGUCUCCAUCGGCCAUAGCACAACGUAUGGUUUAAGUUGUACAUGAUUUAGUAGGAGAUUUUACUUUGGAAUAAUAAAACAAGAUAGCAAUCAAAUAAGAGUAAUGGGAAACAGGAAACCAGGCUAAAGAAAGGGAGAAUCUUUUCUCUUUUUGGCUUCCAUCGCAUAUACAGGACUCAUAUACCCCCAGGAAAUAUAGGUCGAGCCUACUGAUAUGGUUUCUGGGGGACUUUUGUAUCAGAUAAUUUUAUGACUUGAUUUUCUUGGAGACUACAUGCGGUGAUGAAAACAUCUAAGUGGAAACAGAGGCUGUGAAAUUAGUUUUGGAAAAAGCGUCAACUAACCAGUGUUGGGCAACCAGCCGUUUAUCUGUGUGCAGUUAGGGUCGUAAGAUUAGCAGGUUAUGGGGUUAGGAGAAGGUCUCAGAGAUGACCAGCUUCAAUCAUCAGCUUUAUGUCUAAGAGUCAAGGUAGAGGGGGCUGGGGAUUUAGCUCAGUGGUAGAGCGCUUACCUAGGAAGCGCAAGGCCCUGGGUUCGGUCCCCAGCUCCGAAAAAAAAGAACCAAAAAAAAAAAAAAAAAGAGUCAAGGUAGUGGGUACAUUAUCCCUUUCAUUCUUGAGUCCAAAGUGGCUCAAAAAAAAAAAAAAAAAAAAAGAGCCACUAUAACUUGCCUGACUUGGCCUUCUUUGAGAGCGGUGACAGAGUUUCACAGUGACACUGUUCUUCUGUGACUCUUCAUUUUAGGAUGGAGGCCACUUUUUUGUUGUACUGAAAUAUACAUGUUGCAAGACUCACCAUUUUAACCACUUGGGAGGUGUAUUUAAUGGCAUUAAAUGUGUGUAGAGGGUUAUAUCACUAUUACCAAACCCCAUCUCUGAACUGUGCAUCUUGUAAAACUCUGGUACCCACUAAGCCCUCACUCCUCUCUACCUCAAACCCCACCGUGCCUUCUGUCUUUCUGCAUGUGCUAUGCCAGGACUGCAUAGUGCAGGGGUCAUGCAGCCCGUUUGUGAGUGGAGGUGGUUGGAUCGCUUGCUAGUCAGAAGGACCCAGGGGUCUGUGGUAAGCAGGAGUGGGAGAAACUCCUCCAGGGUGAGACACAGUAUCCUGGUGUCAAAAUGCCAUCUGCCACUUCACUUUUAAUGUACAUUACUGGGAGAUGUGGCACACAGACAUAGGUCCUGAAUAAGUUAUCUAGAAUAUGCUUGGCAGGACACUGAGAGGUCGGCAGCUCAGUGGUGCAGCAUUUGCUGGCAUCUGGCAGCCUGGGGUCACCACCCAGCACUGAAAAAAAAUUAAAUAAUGUCUCAGGAAAACUUAACAAUGGUGACAGCGAUGGCCCCUGCAACCUGACCAGCUCCAGGCUAAUCACAUGACCUGCCCAGCUCCAGGCUAAUCACAUGACCUGCCCAGCUCCAGGCUAAUCACAUGACCUGCCCAGCUCCAGGCUAAUCACAUGACCUGCCCAGCUCCAGGCUAAUCACAUGACCUGCCCAGCUCCAGGUUAAUCACAUGCUCAUCAGAUCUUGGUACUUCUCUUGUUCUGACUCUUCCUCUUCUCCCUGGCUCCUAACAUCCUCUGUUGAAGUUCUUUGUAAAUUAAGAAAGCAGUAAAACUUCGCCUCUCAGUGCAGAGAUGUCCUCUCUCAACAGUAGGCCCCAAGUCCUCUGCAUCUGGCUCCCCUGGUAUGUAGAUGUCCCCUUUGCUUAUGGAUUCCAGAAGAGUACUACUAUUCUGUUGGUGGCAUUAUGGAAUAUACAUCUAAGACUAUUGCCCACACCCAGUCAGACCCCGAGGUCCAUGUACUGUGGCCGAUGUUCCUGUGGCAGGAGUGAUUGGCUUGUAGUCAGCAGGAGUUAUGGUGUCAGUACCGUUUGGAACUAUUGGCUUCAUGGUACCAUUCCACACGAGGAGCCUUGGGCCAGCUGGCUUUCUGAUCUGUAUGAAUUUUGUUUUGUUGUUUCUUGGUGGUGCUGAGGAUUGAACCCAGUUGUGUACUAACUGAGGACUUACCACUCCAGGUCUACAAGUCAUACCCCAGGCAAACUAUUUUAGUAUGGAGCUUUCCAAAUAAGUCAUGGCAGGUCAGCAACUCCCAGAGAUCCCCCUGUGUCUGCUUUUAUAGCAUUGGGAUUCUAAGGGCUUUUUGCAUGGGUGCCGGGAAUUGAACUCAGGUCUUUCUGUUUGGAGGGCAAGUGCUUCACUGAAUGUUCCUAGUUCCCAUUCAAUGAGUUUUUAUGACCAUUUGUCUGUAUUGACCUUUGGUGUUUGUGGAACCGUCUAGAAUGACUAGAUUGUUGAGGCGUUUCUGACUACGAUCUACUUUUCUCAUAGAAUGAGUUGAUACUCUGAGGAGACUAACUGUGGGGCCCUGGCUCCAUGUGUGAAUGCUGGGAGAAGAGGCUCAACACGUUGGGAGGCAUUACUGACCAGAGCCAGCAUGUGCCACCCCCUUUCUAGCAAAGUUGGGAAGGAGAUGAUGUUUAGACUAAAGCAGAUGUGCCCUUGGUGGGGGAGCAAGCCAGACUUCCCUAGAAAAUAAUUUAGGGGGGGGGCUUUCAUUUUGCUGUGAAAUGUGAAAUCAUGUUUCACACUUAAGAGAAAAUAAUUGGGAAUAUAAUUUUCUCUCUCAAACUUAGAGCAAAUUAUUAUUUUCUUUUCUCACACGCUUCCUCCAUAGCUUCUCAGGCCUUUCAUUUUUAUCAUUAAUGUUGCAAAGUGCUUCUCUUAGCAGGGAAACUUCUAAAAGCUUACACAUGACAUUAGUAAUUCUGAUGAGCAUAGAGUUAAGUGAAAGAAGACAAAGAGAAUGUGCUCGGGAGGAUUCCAUGUAUAGCAUUUGAAAACAGACAGGACUGUAAAGUCACAAAUGGUUAGUUAGUACAGGCUCAGGGGAUGGAGGCAGGAGGAUUGCAAUCUUCAAGGACUGCCUGAGCUACAGAGCAAGUUCAAGGUCAGCCUAAGCAACUCAGUGAACAAUAUCUCAAAGUUCAAAUGAAAAAAUAAAAUAAAGCAAAUAAAUAAAUGAAAUACAAAAGACUAGGGCUUCACCUCAGUGGUAGGGCACUCGCAUAGCAUUUAGGAGGCCCCAGAUCGUCAGAGCUAUUUCCAAAUGGUUAUAGCAAAGGGUGGUGGCAUUGGCUGGCAGGGAAAGUGACUCAUCAUGGGGAGGGGCAUACAGAAAUGGGCUCCUUAGAGGUUGGUAAUGUUGUAUCCCUGGAUCUGGGUGGUGCUUUGAUCAAGACUUUAUUUCAUUAUUAUUUAUUAAAUAGUAGAAUGUGAUUCAUCUCCUGCUCUAAACGCAUGGUGUAUUCUUUAUAAAUAUAACAAAGGAUUCAGAAAUCAGAAAAAAGUCCCAGUACUUAGGAAAUACAGAUAAAUAUGUCAUAUUGAAUGAUCUUUCCAAAACCAUACUAGAAGGAUGGUAAAGAAAUCUUUUUAAAAAAGCUUAAACUACAAAGACAAAAUGCGAGGUGAAGAAAUUAGUAACCAUAUUUACAUACUCACAUUUAUACACACAUAUAUACACAUACAGUCAUACACACACGCAUAAAUACAUACACUCACACAUAUAUUCUCACACAAACAUUCUUUUACACAGUCAUACAUACACACUCACACACCCCACACUCACAUACACUCCCAGCACACUCCCCCACUCACAUACACACACCUACACACACUCACACACUCACACACUCUGAGGGGCUUGACUUUCACUUGAACAUUUUUCACUUGGUGUUCAUUUUUUGAUACCUGGAAUAUUCGUUAUAAUUUUAUUACAUCUUGUUUACAUAUCUAUUCAUAUGAGUGUACAUGCACAUAUAGGCUCGUACGCCAUGACAGGUGUGGAGUAUGGAGGACGGCCUAGAAGCCGGUGCUCUCCUACCAUGUGGGUCUCAGAACCUGAGCUCAGCCUAGGGGUCAAGCGUGCUUUUGCAUUGAAGCCAUCUUCAUGAUCCCUGAAAUGUUCUUUGAUAACAUAUUUUGCCUGGAGAUUUUUGUGACGCUAUUUAACAACCAAACAGCUGUAACCACUGCUUUACUGGGAACCGAUUUUCUGUUGAUUUCGCAGAAGACUGCUAAUCCUCUGGUUUUCUGGUUUGACUGACUUUUGCUAUGUCCAUUUGGUUUUUAGUACUUGUGUGUUUCUACAGAAAGUCACAUGCACAGAACGUCCUCAGGCAGGCUGGGUGGAGGAGGUUGGUUUCCAGUGCCACAUUCGAAUUGAUGUCUGUGUCCAUUUCACCCCACAGCAAGCCUUCCUGAGCCAUGGUCACAAGUGAGGGUUAGCGCUGAGUCUGGGACUCACCGGAGAGUCUCCUUGUGCGUCCAGCACCAGUAGAGAAAGGUACAGCCAUGUUUGAGAGCAGGAGAGUUGAUGGGAAACUAGCAAUGCAUUUUGUGUAUAAAAAGUAGCUGAACCCUAAGUGGCAAAAGGCGAAAUUCAGAUGUUUAAAAUGUAACUCAUCACUUUCCGAGUUUUGGGAGUUAGUGUCAUCAGGCAGUUUUGGAAAUGGUGGCUGAAAUGUGGUUAAAAUUUAGAGAAUUGGGGGCUGGGGAUUUAGCUCAGUGGUAGAGCGCUUACCUAGGAAGCGCAAGGCCCUGGGUUCGGUCCCCAGCUCCGAAAAAAAGAACCAAAAAAAAAAAAAUUUAGAGAAUUGGUUUAAGAAAUAAUUAGACAACACGUACUCACCCCCUUUCUCCCCCUCUCUUUCUUUUUUAUUUUUAUUUUUAAAUUUAUUAUGUAUUCAUUGUCGCUCUCUUUAGACACACCAGAAGAGGACAUCAGAUCCCAUUACAGAGGUUGUGAGCCACCAAGUGGUUGCUAGGAAUUGAACUCAGGACCUCUGGAAUAGCAAUCAGUGCUCUUAACCGCUGAGCCAUUUCUCUCUCCCUCCCUCCCUCCCUCCCUCCCUCCCUCCCUCCCUCCCUCCCUCCCUCCCUCCCUCCCUCCCUCCCUCCCUCCUUUCUUCUUUUCUUGCUGGAUGUUCUCCAGUGAGCCUAGAGCAGAAGUUCUCUGGGUAGGAAUAUGAGUGGAGCCCAUCAGAGGUGACUUUUCUAGCUGCUUUUCCAGGUGACUGAGUACCAACCUAUAACCUUUAGGUAGAAGGUUUGACCUUCUCUUUAGCCAAAGAAGCUCAGCCUGCAGAAGGAGACCUCAUGGGUCCAGAAAGAUCUGCCCAGCAAAGCCAUCCACAGUGAAACCUAGAAAAUGAGCCCCACCUGUCAGUUAGAAUAUUGUCCUAACUCUUUGCUAUCUCACUCUGAAUACAAAGACAUCCAAGAAAGCAUGUAAAGUGAAAAUAGAGACCAAAGUCAAAUAUCUAUUUAAAUCAGAAUCUCAGGGAAGAAACUUAAACAAACAAAAGGGAUAGAGAUCUCCCUUAACCUCAUCUUUAGAAAGGUAGAAAGGGAGCUAAUUGCUCUAUAGAAGAAAUGUUCAGAAGACAUAAAGAGUUGAAAAUAAAAUAAUAUGAUCACUGAGUGAACAUAUUGAACAGUUGCAAAUCAAAUUCAAGAGUCUCUAGGCCAGGGCAAAACAAAAUCAGAGAUGGGAACUAGAAGAAAACCAUGAAAAUUAGACAAUCAGAACAAGAGGACUCAUGUCUCAAUGCUAGGUGUCUUAGUUAGGGUUUUAUUGUGGUGAAUAGACAUCUUAACCAAGGCAACUCUUAUAAGGACAACGUUUGAUUCAGAAGUUCAGUCCAUCAAGUACCAUCAAGGCAGGAGCAUGGAGGCAUCCAGGCAGGCAUGGUACAGGAGGAGCUGAGAGUUCUACAUCUUCAUCUGAAGGCUACUAGGUGAAGACUGACUUCCACAUGUUAGGAGGAGGGUCUCAUUGCCCAGCCCCACAAUGACACACUUCCUCCAGCAAGGCCACAUCUACCCCCACAAAGCCACACCUCCUAAUAGUGCCAUUCCCUGGGCUAAGCAUUUUCAAAUAAGCACACUAGGGAUUCCAGAAAGGGAUAAAUGAAAAAGAAGAGGGGAGAAAAUAAAAGUGAACAUUUUCUGGGCCAGAAAGACAUGUUUUCCAGUUGAAGGGCUCCCUGUGUGCUCAUACCAGUGAACAUGCUAACAUGACAGUACAUCAUUGCAGCAGCCCAGGAAAGCAGGGAUAACUGUAAUGUUGUAUGGUGUCUAAAAGUGAGACAAGCGUGUUGGGAGAGUCAGGAAUGAGCUAUGUCUAACAGGAGCUUGGGAGGCUAGAAGACAAUAGAGCAACAUCUUAAAUGUUCUGGAAGAAAAUGAUUUCUAGUGGAGAAUUAUAUACCCAACUGAACUAUCACUAUCAAGAAGAUAGAACAAAAGCAUUUUCAGGUUGUUGCUGGUCCAUAACAAAUAGAGCCUUACUUGUGGACGUAUCCAUAAGGAAAGGUCAACCCAAGGGCAGUCCAGCAUAGGGAGAGGCAAAUAGAAGCUGUGAAGAGAUUCUCCCUGACCGUGCAAUGAAAACACAGUCUGCUGGUUUGAGGUGCACAUGUCAUAACCUUGGGAAGAAUGGGCAAGAGGUGGGGGAAACCCUCAACUCUCACAGUACAUAAUGAGCAAGAAGCAAAAACAAUCACCAAGAACCACAUUGUUUUAAGUAUGGAAUUAAAUACAAAAAGACAUAGUUAAGGGG